This 332-nucleotide ribosomal RNA is filed under the name uncultured eukaryote. Its description in RNAcentral is "partial 18S ribosomal RNA". It matches the Rfam family "Eukaryotic small subunit ribosomal RNA", at positions 1470 to 1796 of the family's 1831-position model. The record is from RNAcentral.
CCCUUAGAUGUUCUGGGCUGCACACGUGCUACACUGGCAGGUUCAGCGAGCUUCAUGCCCUGAUCUGAAAGGAAUGGGAAAUCUUUUCAAAACCUGCCGUGCUUGGGAUGGAUGUUUGCAAUUAUUCAUCUUCAACGAGGAUUGCCUUGUAAGCGCACGUCACCAGCGUGCAUUGAAUACGACCCUGUAUUCUGUACACACCGCCCGUCGCUCCUACCGAUUGAAGUUUUCGGUGAGUUGACAGGAGGAUUUUUUUGAAACUGGUUCGCCAGUGGAUUUUAGAUCCAAAUGCCAACGAAUCGAUGGCUUUAGAGGAAGGAGAAGUCGUAACA